CCUGGGGAGUACGGCCGCAAGGUUAAAACUCAAAUGAAUUGACGGGGGCCCGCACAAGCGGUGGAGCAUGUGGUUUAAUUCGAUGCAACGCGAAGAACCUUACCUACUCUUGACAUCCAGAGAACUUAGCAGAGAUGCUUUGGUGCCUUCGGGAACUCUGAGACAGGUGCUGCAUGGCUGUCGUCAGCUCGUGUUGUGAAAUGUUGGGUUAAGUCCCGCAACGAGCGCAACCCUUAUCCUUUGUUGCCAGCGGUCUGGCCGGGAAC
Molecule: ribosomal RNA, 266 nt
Filed under: Enterobacter hormaechei
Lineage: Bacteria; Pseudomonadati; Pseudomonadota; Gammaproteobacteria; Enterobacterales; Enterobacteriaceae
Description: partial 16S ribosomal RNA
Rfam family: Bacterial small subunit ribosomal RNA
Source: RNAcentral